This 483-nucleotide ribosomal RNA is filed under the name uncultured bacterium. Its description in RNAcentral is "partial 16S ribosomal RNA". It matches the Rfam family "Bacterial small subunit ribosomal RNA", at positions 28 to 507 of the family's 1533-position model. The record is from RNAcentral.
GACGAGCGCUGGCGACGUGCUUAACACAUGCAAGUCGAACGCUGAAGCUCAGCUUUUGUUGGGUGGAUGAGUGGCGAACGGGUGAGUAACACGUGAGUAACCUGCCCCCUUCUUUGGGAUAACGCCCGGAAACGGGUGCUAAUACUGGAUAUUCACUGGUCUUCGCAUGGGGGUUGGUGGAAAGGGUUUUUCUGGUGGGGGAUGGGCUCGCGGCCUAUCAGCUUGUUGGUGGGGUGAUGGCCUACCAAGGCUUUGACGGGUAGCCGGCCUGAGAGGGUGACCGGUCACAUUGGGACUGAGAUACGGCCCAGACUCCUACGGGAGGCAGCAGUGGGGAAUAUUGCACAAUGGGCGCAAGCCUGAUGCAGCGACGCCGCGUGAGGGAUGGAGGCCUUCGGGUUGUGAACCUCUUUCGCUCAUGGUCAAGCCGCAACAAUGGUUGUGGUGAGGGUAGUGGGUAAAGAAGCGCCGGCUAACUACGUG